Molecule: unclassified non-coding RNA, 387 nt
Filed under: soil metagenome
Description: partial contains 5.8S ribosomal RNA, internal transcribed spacer 2, and large subunit ribosomal RNA
Rfam family: 5.8S ribosomal RNA (bases 1-120)
Source: RNAcentral
GAUGAAGAACGUAGCGAAAUGCGAUAAGUAAUGUGAAUUGCAGAAUUCAGUGAAUCAUCGAAUCUUUGAACGCACCUUGCGCUCCUUGGUAUUCCGAGGAGCAUGCCUGUUUGAGUGUCAUGAAAUUCUCAACCUUUUCAGCUUUCUUUGUUGAUCAGGCUUGGAUGUGGGAGUAUGCGGGCUUCUCAGAAGUCGGCUCUCCUGAAAUGCAUUAGCGGGACCUUUGUUGCCUGGCUUUGGUGUGAUAAUUAUCUACGCCAUUGUAGUCAAGCAGCUUAAAAUGAGGUUUCAGCUUCUAACCGUCUCCCCUGAGACAACUUUUUGACAAUUUGACCUCACAUCAGGUAGGACUACCCGCUGAACUUAAGCAUAUCAAUAAGCGGAGGA